UACGUAGGGAGCAAGCGUUGUUCGGAUUUACUGGGCGUAAAGGGCGCGUAGGCGGCGCGGUAAGUCACUUGUGAAAUCUCUGAGCUUAACUCAGAACGGCCAAGUGAUACUGCAGUGCUAGAGUGCAGAAGGGGCAAUCGGAAUUCUUGGUGUAGCGGUGAAAUGCGCAGAUAUCAGGAGGAACACCAAUUGCGAAGGCAGCUCGCUGGGACGUUACUGACGCUGAGACGCGAAAGCGUGGGGAGCAAACAGG
RNAcentral lists this ribosomal RNA (253 nucleotides) under uncultured bacterium. Its description in RNAcentral is "partial 16S ribosomal RNA". It matches the Rfam family "Bacterial small subunit ribosomal RNA", at positions 524 to 776 of the family's 1533-position model. The record is from RNAcentral.